GAGAGACCGGGGAUUUACCUCCCAGGCACGGUCACGCUGGGCCAGGAGCAGCCGCUAUUACAGAAUCUAGGCACGUACUCUCCCCAUCCUCCUUCUUCCUGGAGUCAUUCAGAAGAGAAGUUGGGGCUCUGAAGGGCAG
This is an unclassified non-coding RNA of Bison bison bison, 139 nucleotides long. NCBI's taxonomy places the organism in Eukaryota, Metazoa, Chordata, Mammalia, Artiodactyla, Bovidae. The record is from Ensembl.